AUGAUACAUAAACGAAUAUCACAUCUUUAAUAUAUAAUGGAUUUCUGUACAAAAUAGUUAAAUAGUUACAUCAUACGAAGACAACGAUCCAACAACCAUAGUUGACUGGGAGACGACGACCUAGACCUCUCACGAACUCAUCGCGACAUCCUUGAUGCUCCUCAUCAUGCAGUACCUGUUCUUGACCUGGGGGAUGUGAGUACAGCAAAGGUGAGCUCGCAUACAUUCAUCGCUCAACAAGUUGUGGGGAAUAAUGUGCAUGAGCUCACUUACAGUGGGGCUAAUGUGAAGUGUAAGGCUUACCAAAGGAGAUGGUUAAAACUGAGCAUUCCUUUUAGAUUUGGUCAAAAUUUUAUUAACAGUUACUAAGUAUAAGUAGAUAUCAACCCAAAUAAAGAAGUGAAAGUUGCAUAGAGGGGGGUGAAUAGGCGUAAUCUGAAAUUUACAACUUAAAAUAUAAGCUACAAGCCGGGGUUAGCGUUAGAACUUAAACCAAGUCCGGGAGAGAGGGGAAAAAUAAAUCAACCAAGAAAUAAAGCGGAUGAAUGCAGUGAUUUGUUUUACCGAGGUUCGGUUCUAAAGAACCUAGUCCCCGUUGAGGUGGUCACAAAGACCGUGUCUCUUUCAACCCUUUCCCUCUCUCAAACGAUCACUUAGACUAAGUGAGCCUUUUCCUUAAUCUCCCGGGUCACUUAGACCCCGCAAGGACCACCACACACUUAGAUGUCUCUUGCUUCGAUUACAAAUCACUUGAGAAAAGAAGUGAGAAAGGAAGAAAGCAAGAGCUCAAAAAAAACAAAAUCUCUCUCUCACAAGUCACUAAGUGUUUGAGAUGAAUUGGGGACUUGGAGAGACUUUGAUCUUUUGAAUUGUGUCUAGGAGUGAAUGCUAGAGCUCUUGUAAUGAAUGUGAUACUUAGAAAAUCUUGGAUGCUUGAGGUGGUGGUGGUUGGGGGUAUUUAUAGCCCUCAACCACCAAACAACCGUUGGGGCAGGCUGCUGUCGAUGGGCGCAUUGGACACUGUCCGGUGCGUCAGCCACGUCACCCAACCGUUAGGGUUCUGGAGCUUUUGACCGUUGGAUGCUUUGUCCUCUAGUGGCACCGGACAGUUCGGUGCCGCACCGGACAGGCACUGUUCAGUGUCCGGUGCGCCUCUGACCUGCGGCUCUGACUCUGCGCGCACUGUUAUUCACUGUUCAUCUGAGCAUCGCGCUUUUGCAGUCGAUCGUUGCGCGAAGUAGUCGUUGCUCCGCUGUCACACCGGACAGUCCGGUGGCACACCGGACAGUCCGGUGAAUUAUAGCGGAGCGCGCCUGGAGAAACCCGAGAGUGGCUAGUUCAUUCUUGUGCGGACCUGGUGCACCGGACACUAUCCGGUGGCACACCGGACAGUCCGGUGCGCCAGAACAGAGCACACUCGGUUUUUUUGCUCCUUUGAAUUUGAUCCCUAACUUCAAUCUCUUAUUGGUUUGUGUUGAACCUUUAUGCACCUGUAGAACAUAUAAUCUAGAGCAAACUAGUUAGUCCAAUAUUUGUGUUGGACAUUCAACCACCAAAAUUAAUACUGGGAAAAGGUUAACCCUAUUUCCCUUUCAAUAAGAGAUCACAAUUCAUAUCAACACCCACAAUGCAAAUAUUUUGUGAAGCUAACACAAUUUGAACGGAGUAAUUUGGAGUUAAAAUGCAAGAGCUAUGAAUUUCCAAAGUUUCUAGAAUUAUUCUUAUACAUAAAAUCAUUUUCAGAUUCGAUUUUUGAUAAAUUAUAAUCCUUAGUGGACGGCAGGCAUGAUUCUCUAUAAGUACAGGGGUCUGAUUAUAAAUUUUAGGACUUGUUUGCGAGGUUCUUUGAACCCGAGAGAACUGUGGGUUGAUUUUGUAAUUACUCGAGGUCCCUUUUGAAGUUUUACCACGCCGAAGGGGUAAGAAGACUUCCUAGCCAUCAGAUUAGAAGUCCAUGGUUCAGAUUAGAUUGUAUUCUUUUAUGAACCGGUAUGCAUAUGUGGCCACAGGAUCAAGGAUCCACGACAGAAAUCACUCACGCCAUGAUCCCAACCGAUCCGUCCGAUUAUGAUCUGGCAGUUAGGAUUGAUUGCGCGAAGAGGUACGAAAUCAUCUAAUCCUGGAGGAUCAUAUCGGAACGGACGGCUAGCUGCACAUCACCCUAACGCGACUAGCCAGGGUAGCGGCAUGCUUGCCAUCGCGGCGACGCCCCUCGCCGGAGAGGGCAGAAUCGACCCCCCGGCGACCGAUCCACAACAAGCGCUGAUGCAAAACAAUGCGAAGGUGAUCGCGAGUUAGAUGGUAGACUCACCUCCAUGGAUUAGGGCGCUUCGAAACCUGCCCGCAGCACAAGGCGGCACGGCCGUGGAGGCCAAUUCCGAUGAGCAAUUCCUGGAGCUCCGGCUGACACUUUCUCGAGCCAAGCGCGAAUUCACCACCGCCAUGGUCCAAUGAUGCUCCCGGUCCAACACCCGAGGGUUGAGACGUUGACUAGCUUGACUUCCGCGGCGGUGCUGCCCUUUCCCCGCCGCGCCG
Molecule: long non-coding RNA, 2535 nt
Filed under: Zea mays
Lineage: Eukaryota; Viridiplantae; Streptophyta; Magnoliopsida; Poales; Poaceae
Description: long non-coding RNA (ZMAY_LNC005774)
Source: RNAcentral